GCUUUACAGCACAGAUUUGCAGCUUUUAACCUGGAAGCUUCACAGCAAAGGCAAUUCGGCUUUACUUUGUUUCCCUUCGAAUCCCAAAGAAAGCAUUAUCUACUUUGUUACUAAACAGAGCAGGCAAUAUUUUAUAUUGCCAUAGUCAAUUAUGUGAGGCUGUGUAACCUUUUCCAGCUAUUACAGUCUUCAAAUCUUUCUGUGCUAAUGUUGCCAACAAUACAGAAGCAGCUUCAAAGCAUCUUUGCAGUGUUCGAAAGAGAAGACAGCUGGUACUGCUUAGAAACUAAGCUGCGAUGACCAGAUUUCUAAUUUAUAAAACUGGGGCAGCACACGUCAGGGGAACGUCGGCGGUGGUUUUGUGAAGAACACCCCAUGCCUGCUUUUAUAGAAGUCACAUAAACAACACCUAGUCUCAUUGGAAAACGAUGGAAACUUUGUCAGCAGAACUUCAUGAAAAAGAAAUCUCUUGUUUAGAAAAUAAGUCAUGAUUUAAAAGGACCAGCAGCAUCUGUGAAGAAACCCUGUCAAUCAGAAUCCUACACACAUGCAAAGGUUUGCCCGCCUCAGCCCUGUAGGACUGAUUCACUCAGACCACACUGCUAGCCCUGUCACCAAGCUUUCGUUCUUGUCUCCCUUUCUCUGUGCCAUUUUACCUCCACAAAGUUCAAAUUCUUUGUCUAUAUAAUCCUGAGUUAAAAUAAAGUUUCAGCAGAAGAAGUAAUAUGACCAAAUUAAGUAUAACAAGGGAGUUUUUAAAAAAUAAAUAAGCUAUAAGAUCCACUAAAGAAUUUACUAUGACAGGGAAAAAAUUAUGUAUUUUGUACUAAGUUACACACACUCUUUCAGGGGUACACUAAAACCCAUAUAACGCCAUUGACUAGAUAAGCCAUUAUAAGCUUAUAAGCAAGUUCCAAGAUGUCAAGAAAGGUGAUUAGAAAGUAUAGGGAAGCAUAAUCAGUAAUCAUCAUGAUAGAACUUAAUUUUCAGGUAUAUUGUUGAGCCAUGAUUCUUGUUUCAGAAAGUAGAAAGCAGACCACUUUCCCUGUCCCAUUGGUAAUGUGAAGGAAACAGUUCUGACUAGAAAUGAAGGGGAUUGACGAGGUGUUUUUGACACCUGUGCUCAGUCCAUUCCUCCUCCUUCCUCCAGACUUUUUGCUCUGUUCUUAGGCAGCGCAGAGAUAAUAGAAGAUCUGCAUGGUUGAGUGGGACUUCCUGGUUAUGUUGCUUAAGAUAUCUGAGCACAGGGAGGAGUAAGCCCUGCAAAAAGUCUAGGAAAUCUUCAGUGUUUCUAGUUUUCUGCUGCUCUAAUUAAACAUUUGAGAUAAAUUAACUGACACACAGAAUAAAAUCAGAUACCUUCUCUCUUGGAAUUGGUAGAGAUUACAUGUCUGAGAACUCAGUAUCUAGCCCAAAGCCCAACAUAUGCAAAGGCAAAAAUGACGAACGAUUUAGUAAACGAGAAUGCAGAAGCUGGGUAACCAGUUACCUAGAGAAAAGCAUUCACCUGAGCAAAGGUUACUGUCCAGGGAGUUUUGCUUGUGGUCAUAUAAAGAAAGCAUUAUAGUUAUUGAGGACUAUGUACUAAGGCUUUGUGACAGGCUCUGUUACUGUCUAGUGAAGAGGAUUCUGCCAUUUAGAAUAGGAAGGUGUACAAUGUUAACUAUUUUACGAAUUUAUUUUUUUUAGUGUGUUUUUUUUUUAUUCUGCCAAUUGGAAAGCCAUUUUCUAUAUUGUAACAACCUCAAAAACAAACACAUCAUACUAUUCCUUUUACAUUAAGAAAUCUGCAGUUAUAUUUCAGAAUAUGAAUUAGAUUGCUAGAAACACAUUCUCUCGAUACACACAUGGAUAUUUAAAGAAUUAUAAUAUUUUAGCCAUUUAAAAUUAUUUUCAUUUUCAUGAAGUAAACUCAAAAGCUUUCCCUAUCAAUAUGAAGAAAAUGUAAGAGGCCGGGUGCAGUGGCUCACGCCUGUCAUCCCAGCACUUUGGGAGACCGAGGCGGGCAGAUCACGAGGUCAGGAGAUCGAGACCAUCCUGGCUAACACGGUGAAACC
Molecule: long non-coding RNA, 2057 nt
Organism: Homo sapiens (human)
Lineage: Eukaryota; Metazoa; Chordata; Mammalia; Primates; Hominidae
Source: Ensembl